GCUCCGAAAUUCGUGCAGUAGAUCUGAUCCCAGUCCGAUCCUAUUCAAAAUUUGUAACACUUGAUUCAUAUUGAGUCACCCUGAUAGGACCUUUGAUGAUCUCGAUCAUGAUUGCCUCAUCUGAAGGAUAUGAAGAUUUCUCUCUCCACUUUCUCUCUCUACUUUCUCUCUCUAGAAUUUUCUCUCUCUUCAUGGAUUUUCUCUCUCUAGAAGUUUUAUGGAUCAGUGGAGGAUCU
Molecule: long non-coding RNA, 236 nt
Filed under: Elaeis guineensis (African oil palm)
Lineage: Eukaryota; Viridiplantae; Streptophyta; Magnoliopsida; Arecales; Arecaceae
Description: long non-coding RNA (EGUI_LNC036528)
Source: RNAcentral